CCAAAUUCAUGGUGAAAUUUCAUCCAAACAUGAUUUGCCAAUAAUAUUUGAGAACUUGAGGUCAAAUGCUAGUUUAAUACUUCAUCUCCAAAUGAAGUUAAAGAUAACAGUGAAGCUUCAAACAAAAGAAAAGUCAUAGAAACUACGAUUGCUUGUUGUAAGCAUUUUGAGAAAUUAAUUGAUGAAGAUGGAGCUACUAAAACAAAAUGUAAUUAUUGUGGAAAAACU
RNAcentral lists this long non-coding RNA (228 nucleotides) under Solanum tuberosum (potato). Its description in RNAcentral is "long non-coding RNA (STUB_LNC010901)". Lineage: Eukaryota; Viridiplantae; Streptophyta; Magnoliopsida; Solanales; Solanaceae. The record is from RNAcentral.